GCACGCUAGCAGUUCAAGGAUACAAUGUGGUGGAAUUCCGAGAAGGAAUUGAACGAUCCAAUCUCCUACUUUCUACCCCUGUAAACAUAUAAACAACGAUCUGUAUAAUCGAUACCAGUAGCAUGCCUGAAGGCAUUCGAAAUGUUAUCGUAAAUUAUAGAAUGGAAUCCAUUAAUGCGCCCAGACAUAGACAGAUAGAAGCAGAGGGAGCUGAAGAGGAAGAGCCAACAUUCAUAUAUUCAAAAUUCAUUUGCCCCUAAUUGUAUGCAAUGGAAAAUGUGCGUGCAAUUUAUGCAAACAAGCGUCGUCCGUGGGUGUGUGUGUGCUCUCUGAUUCCAUGUUUGCAAACGACUAUUUCUGCUACAUAUUUCAUAAAAUACAUAGUGCAUCUUCCGAGCGAGUUCCUGCUAAAACUGGCAUUUAAAUACGAUUUGGAAAGUUGCUCUUGCGAAACUUUUCCCAGAAUAUUUGACACAGCUCUCUAGCAAAUUGUUUGCUAGCUCUCUAAGUGGCCCCAAUUCAAAUUAAUUCAACCAAUAAAAUGGCAUAAAUUAUA
Drosophila persimilis is the source of this 556-nucleotide long non-coding RNA. RefSeq lists it as uncharacterized. The transcript is spliced from 3 exons. Lineage: Eukaryota; Metazoa; Arthropoda; Insecta; Diptera; Drosophilidae. The record is from RefSeq and is a predicted model, not a curated record.